GAUGAUGAUCCCAAGCCUUCUGGCGAUCUCUUAAACGUCAAAGUGCCCUCAUUUUUUAAGGGUGCUUUAAGGAUAAAGAGCUGUAAAGCGCUCUUAUGUAAGAAUAUGCCGGGGAAGGUUUUCCGGUUUAUCCCGGAGGGCUUGUAGCUCAGUUGGUUAGAGCGCGCGCUUGAUAAGCGUGAGGUCGGAGGUUCAAGUCCUCCCAGGCCCACCAAUUUAAUCCAUUCAUUAAAGAGUGCUUAACAAAAGCCUUUUUUGAAAAUGUGGUGCUUAUCUGUUUCGCUUAAAAGAGCAAAACUUAAAUGAAGUUCAAAGACAAGAAGAUCUUUGUUAAACUGAUUUUAAUUUAAAAAGUUUGGAAUGGGUUAUGCUAUUUUAGGGGCCGUAGCUCAGCUGGGAGAGCACCUGCUUUGCAAGCAGGGGGUCGUCGGUUCGAUCCCGUCCGGCUCCACCAUUUAGAUCAUCAUCAUUGUUGUGAGAACAUCGUUUUGUGAGAGGUCUUUAUGACUUUUUGCCUGUUCU
RNAcentral lists this transfer RNA (522 nucleotides) under uncultured Bartonella sp. RNAcentral's name for it is "partial 16S-23S ribosomal RNA intergenic spacer". The stretch from base 138 to 211 matches the Rfam family "tRNA". Lineage: Bacteria; Pseudomonadati; Pseudomonadota; Alphaproteobacteria; Hyphomicrobiales; Bartonellaceae. The record is from RNAcentral.